This 60-nucleotide ribosomal RNA is filed under the name Saccharomyces cerevisiae (brewer's yeast). RNAcentral describes it as "partial 28S ribosomal RNA". The record is from RNAcentral. Lineage: Eukaryota; Fungi; Ascomycota; Saccharomycetes; Saccharomycetales; Saccharomycetaceae.
GUUUGACCUCAAAUCAGUAGGAGUACCCGCUGAACUUAAGCAUAUCAAUAGCGGAGGAAA